Molecule: ribosomal RNA, 465 nt
Filed under: Vreelandella stevensii
Lineage: Bacteria; Pseudomonadati; Pseudomonadota; Gammaproteobacteria; Oceanospirillales; Halomonadaceae
Description: partial 16S ribosomal RNA
Rfam family: Bacterial small subunit ribosomal RNA
Source: RNAcentral
CCUACGGGGGGCAGCAGUGGGGAAUAUUGGACAAUGGGGGGAACCCUGAUCCAGCCAUGCCGCGUGUGUGAAGAAGGCCCUCGGGUUGUAAAGCACUUUCAGUGAGGAAGAACGCCUGGUGGUUAAUACCCAUCAGGAAAGACAUCACUCACAGAAGAAGCACCGGCUAACUCCGUGCCAGCAGCCGCGGUAAUACGGAGGGUGCGAGCGUUAAUCGGAAUUACUGGGCGUAAAGCGCGCGUAGGUGGCUUGAUAAGCCGGUUGUGAAAGCCCCGGGCUCAACCUGGGAACGGCAUCCGGAACUGUCAAGCUAGAGUGCAGGAGAGGAAGGUAGAAUUCCCGGUGUAGCGGUGAAAUGCGUAGAGAUCGGGAGGAAUACCAGUGGCGAAGGCGGCCUUCUGGACUGACACUGACACUGAGGUGCGAAAGCGUGGGUAGCAAACAGGAUUAGAUACCCUGGAAGUC